GAUGGCUUAAUGGUAAGAGCGUCCGCCUCGGAUGCGAGAGAUCGUGGGUUCAAACACCAGCCAAUUCAUACCAGAGACA
Non-coding RNA from Potamilus streckersoni, 79 nucleotides. The record is from the annotation of a GenBank genome assembly. NCBI's taxonomy places the organism in Eukaryota, Metazoa, Mollusca, Bivalvia, Unionida, Unionidae.